GGAUGUGAGGGCUCUGGCUACACCACCUAUCACCCCAUUGAUCUCCAGGGUUGAUUCAACUGAUCUGGCUGGCCAGGCGGGUGCCCCCUUCCUCCCUCACAGCUCCAUGUGCAACCCUCCUAAAAGUGUGAAGGAGCACCCUUGGUCCAAGAGGACAACCUUCCCCAACAGAGGAGGACUGAUCUUGGUGGAGGGUAUACGAGUAGUGGAGCUCCCCUGCUAGAACCCCCAAACAAGCUUUCAGGGUCCAUUUGUAGGAGAAUAUAGGGUAGUCAAGUUUCCCAGACACAGCCAAAUGAAGUGCUGUGGCAGUCUGCCUUUCUUU
Unclassified non-coding RNA from Ursus maritimus (polar bear), 325 nucleotides. Its record names the gene 7SK. It matches the Rfam family "7SK RNA". From Rfam's summary of the family: 7SK was discovered as an abundant small nuclear RNA in the mid-70s but a possible function has only recently been suggested. Two independent studies have found that 7SK RNA binds the CDK9/cyclin T complex (known as elongation factor P-TEFb). The record is from Ensembl. Lineage: Eukaryota; Metazoa; Chordata; Mammalia; Carnivora; Ursidae.